UGGGAUUACAGGCAUGAGCCACUGAGCCUGGCUCUUCCCUUGAUUUUUAAUCUAUCUUCUCUAAAGCUUCUUUAUACUCUGCAUUGAGAUUUCCAUAUUGCAAAAAUUAAAGCCAAGAGUUCUAUUGCCUACUAAGGGCAAACUUCCUGGAGGCAAAAUGCAGUGUUUGGGUCAUGAGCAAAUGUCUAAAGAGAAGGAAGAAAGAAAUUUGAAACAAUUAAAGAUACUGAAUUGACAUGAUCUAGUGAGCAAUUCCAUAUGGAAGAGAAGAGAAUUUCUGGCAUGGACACCAGUGUUGUUGGAAAUGUUUUUUAGCUGAUAAGAAACUGAGUGGAUUUGGAAGAAAAAGCUAUAAGUACAGAUUUGGAAAAACAUUAAUCAAGCCAUAUGGGCAAUAUCUACUGUCCACUAGGCCACGGCAGAAAUGCCAGGCCUACAUGAAAGUUGCAGAUUUAGCAAUAAUAUUGGCUGCUCUGGAAAUUUCCAUGGAGUCAGGAGAGCAGAGGCACAGGUUGACCGAUGCUGACCCUGGGUCCACUCACCCUGUCAGAGAACAGAGCUCUGGAGUGAAUCCAGAAGGAGAGUUCCAGAGAGUUCCUGUCUCACCUCUCACUUGCACUGGCCUCUGUCUCCCUGGUAUUGAGGUCACUUUCAACACCCAUCUGACAUUCCUCCUCUAAAAAUAAACUGGGAAACCCAUUUUCCAAAGUUACUUACAAAUCCAUGACAACAUAUCGAUAAUUUCUGUUUAGACCAUCUAGAACUUUCAUAUCCUCUGAUGUCAACUGGAAUUCAAAAACCUACCAAAGAAGUAGAAAAUGUUUAUUCUUAGAUUGCAUAAUUGUCAACUUGGAAUAGCCAAGUAUAUCACACAGUAGGGUGUAGAGGCAAUAUGUAAAAUACUUGAUAAGUUUCCAAAAGUUAUGAAAGACCAUCUCUAAACUCUCAAGUGAUUAAAGAAUAUCAGAUAAAAUAUAAAUCUAUUCCUAGAUAUUACAUAUUGAAACUGCACAAAACUGAAGAAAAGAUCUCAACAGAAACUAAAGAUGGAACGAAGUUGACCUUAUGUGCACAUGAUUGGUUCAUGUACUUAGAUUCAGAAGAAUCUAGAGAAAUUUUGAAAUGUAUAAUUUAGACAGUUUGAUGGUGAUACAAUUUGGAUAUUUGUCCCCUCCUAAUCUCAUGUUAAAAAGUAAUUCCCCAAUGAUGGAAGUGGGUCCUGGUGGGAGGUGUUUGUGCCCUGGGGGCAUCCCUCAUGAAUGGCUGGGUGCCCUCCCCAUGGUAAUGAGUGUUCACUGCAUUAGUUCACAUGAAAUCUGGUUUAAAAAGGAGCCUGACAUUUUCUUUUUUUCCCUCUUCAUCUCUUGUUAUUUGAUAUGUUUCCUCCUCUGUCACCUUCUACCACGAGUAAAUGCUUCCUGAGCCCUCACCAAAACUAAAUGCUGGUGCCAUGAUUUUUGUACAGUCUGCAAAAUGGACUUUGUGGAAGUCUGAACUUAGUGAUGACUAAGGGUAUCUGGUGGAAGAAAUUUCUAAGCAGGAAAACAUUCAAGAGAUAGUGUGACUGCUUCUAACAGCCUAUGAUCAGGUAUGGGUGCAAAGGAAUGACCUAAUGUUGGAACUUAAAGCUUCCUGAAGCCUCUCCAGAAUGAGAUGCUGGUGCUAUGCUUUUUGUACAGCCUGCAAAUUGUGAGCCAAAUAUAGCUCUUUUCUGUAUAAAUUGCCCAGCAUCAAGUAUUUUUUUUACAGCAGCACAAAACAGACUAAUACAGAUGGAUAUUGUUGGAUUUCUAUAUUUCUAUAUUUGCCCCCAUGACACAAACACCUCCCACCAGACCCCACUUCCAUCACUGGGGAUCACAUUUUAACAUGAGAUUAGAAGGAGACAAAUAUCCAAAUUGUAUCACCAUCAAACUGUCUAAAUUAUAAGUUUCAAAAUUUUUCUCCAGAUUCUUCCGAAUCUUAUAAGUACAUGAACCAGUCAUGUACACACCAGUUUAACUUUAUUUCAUCUCUAGUAUCUGUUGAGAUCCUCUUUGUCUGCAGCAUUAUACAGUUUCACAUCAGAUGUAGAAAUACUGAAAUCCAAAUUUAUUCAUCUGUAUUUCC
Molecule: long non-coding RNA, 2109 nt
Filed under: Homo sapiens (human)
Lineage: Eukaryota; Metazoa; Chordata; Mammalia; Primates; Hominidae
Description: HSALNT0158150
Source: RNAcentral